RNAcentral lists this microRNA (20 nucleotides) under Spodoptera frugiperda (fall armyworm). Its description in RNAcentral is "sfr-miR-10453-3p". Lineage: Eukaryota; Metazoa; Arthropoda; Insecta; Lepidoptera; Noctuidae. The record is from miRBase by way of RNAcentral.
UGUCAUUGAUACGCGUAUUC